GAUGAACGCUGGCGGCGUGCCUAAUACAUGCAAGUCGAGCGAACAGACGAGGAGCUUGCUCCUCUGACGUUAGCGGCGGACGGGUGAGUAACACGUGGAUAACCUACCUAUAAGACUGGGAUAACUUCGGGAAACCGGAGCUAAUACCGGAUAAUAUAUUGAACCGCAUGGUUCAAUAGUGAAAGACGGUUUUGCUGUCACUUAUAGAUGGAUCCGCGCCGCAUUAGCUAGUUGGUAAGGUAACGGCUUACCAAGGCAACGAUGCGUAGCCGACCUGAGAGGGUGAUCGGCCACACUGGAACUGAGACACGGUCCAGACUCCUACGGGAGGCAGCAGUAGGGACUCUUCCGCAAUGGGCGAAAGCCUGACGGAGCAACGCCGCGUGAGUGAUGAAGGUCUUCGGAUCGGAAAACUCUGUUAUUAGGGAAGAACAAAUGUGUAAGUAACUAUGCACGUCUUGACGGUACCUAAUCAGAAAGCCACGGCUAACUACGUG
Molecule: ribosomal RNA, 497 nt
Filed under: uncultured bacterium
Lineage: Bacteria
Description: partial 16S ribosomal RNA
Rfam family: Bacterial small subunit ribosomal RNA
Source: RNAcentral